GUUACAUUAAGUGUAACUAAGAUAAAAUCUCAUCCCUCCAUUAUUCUUGAUCUAAAGGCUUAGCUCCAUUUCCCACUCCAAAUAUAAAGCUCCAAAAAUCUGAAAAUCCUCCCAUUUCACCCCUUAACUAAACCCUAGAUCCUUCCUCACUCACUCUGUUGGCCGCCGCCACUGCUGCCGUGGCUCUAAUCCACCCCAAAACUUCACCCAACCUUCCUCUCUUUGUUCCCAACACUAAUCAAAGCCUUUAAUUCUCCCUCAAGAUCCACAAAUUUUAGAUCUAGGAAACCCUACCCACCACCUUUUAUCCAAAAUAAUUAAAGUUUCGGACACCACCAUACUACAAUACCUGUAUCAACUGAUAGAUCUCCUCAAGACCUUCCUAUUGAUGUCAAUCUCAUCCUAAAACUCCGGAAAUAAAUUUGCUGGCCACCUCUAUUGCUGCCUCGCCGCCGAACUGCCACUCCGCGACCUUUCGUUUCUCUUCGCACUGGCCUUAAGCGAGGUUUCGUUUUCGAUUUUCAUCGAAACUAGCCUCCAAUUCUCCGGAGUUAGGUUUCGAUAAUAAUCGACAAUAGACAAUUGCUCGAGUCGUAUCUCACAAUUAGCUCGUUGCCUCUGAUGCCUCAUUUUGUUGUAUACUUCAAUCUUCCCCUCAUUUUCUAUUUGCAUGUUUGGUUUUGAAUUAGUUUAAUUUUCUCUAUUUUGAUUAGUUAAUAAGUGUUUAAUGUUAGUUUCAUAAAAAAUCAAAAGAUUAGUUGAAUAUUUUAUAUAGUUCAUCGUAUCUUUAGUUGUUAUUUAUCGUGAUAGUUUAGAGAUGUUCGAUUAAUUUCUAUUUUGACCAUUAGCUUGUGAAAUUCAAUUGUUGUUCCAUGUUAGUUUGCACAAAUCGAACUCAUUCUAAUCUAGUUUGUUUAAAUACUUAGUGCAUUUACAUUUUGAGUCUCGUUUCUACUUUGCUAGUUUAUAUUUAGUUGGAGUUUGAGUGUAUAAAUUGAAUUUCACUCAUGAUAAAAUUUAACAAUUUGUUGAGUGCAGGGUACUUGUUUUGCCCUUUUUACUGUUAUAAGGCUGUUUGGAGUAUACUGCUCCUAGCACUGGUCAUAUUUGGCGAAAAACAUUGUCUUUUGGGGCAGAUUUUUGACCAAAAAUUUGUCAUUUAAAUAGUUAGGACAUAUUUUAGGUGAAAAAUCCGUCCU
Molecule: long non-coding RNA, 1199 nt
Filed under: Nicotiana benthamiana
Lineage: Eukaryota; Viridiplantae; Streptophyta; Magnoliopsida; Solanales; Solanaceae
Description: long non-coding RNA (NBEN_LNC009756)
Source: RNAcentral